CCUACGGGAGGCUGCAGUGGGGAAUAUUGCACAAUGGGGGGAACCCUGAUGCAGCGACGCCGCGUGGGUGAAGGAGUAUUUCGGUAUGUAAAGCCCUAUCAGCAGGGAAGAACAAUGACGGUACCUGACUAAGAAGCACCGGCUAAAUACGUGCCAGCAGCCGCGGUAAUACGUAUGGUGCAAGCGUUAUCCGGAUUUACUGGGUGUAAAGGGAGCGCAGGCGGCGCGGUAAGCCUGGUGUGAAAGCCCGCGGCCCAACCGCGGGACUGCAUUGGGAACUGGCGCGCUGGAGUGCCGGAGGGGUAGGCGGAAUUCCUAGUGUAGCGGUGAAAUGCGUAGAUAUUAGGAGGAACACCAGUGGCGAAGGCGGCUUACUGGACUGUAACUGACGUUGAGGCUCGAAAGCGUGGGGAGCAAACAGGAUUAGAUACCCCAGUAGUC
RNAcentral lists this ribosomal RNA (441 nucleotides) under uncultured bacterium. RNAcentral describes it as "partial 16S ribosomal RNA". It matches the Rfam family "Bacterial small subunit ribosomal RNA", at positions 338 to 795 of the family's 1533-position model. The record is from RNAcentral.